Molecule: ribosomal RNA, 2904 nt
Filed under: Escherichia coli
Lineage: Bacteria; Pseudomonadati; Pseudomonadota; Gammaproteobacteria; Enterobacterales; Enterobacteriaceae
Also listed under: 1 other name
Description: 23S ribosomal RNA
Rfam family: Bacterial large subunit ribosomal RNA
Source: RNAcentral
GGUUAAGCGACUAAGCGUACACGGUGGAUGCCCUGGCAGUCAGAGGCGAUGAAGGACGUGCUAAUCUGCGAUAAGCGUCGGUAAGGUGAUAUGAACCGUUAUAACCGGCGAUUUCCGAAUGGGGAAACCCAGUGUGUUUCGACACACUAUCAUUAACUGAAUCCAUAGGUUAAUGAGGCGAACCGGGGGAACUGAAACAUCUAAGUACCCCGAGGAAAAGAAAUCAACCGAGAUUCCCCCAGUAGCGGCGAGCGAACGGGGAGCAGCCCAGAGCCUGAAUCAGUGUGUGUGUUAGUGGAAGCGUCUGGAAAGGCGCGCGAUACAGGGUGACAGCCCCGUACACAAAAAUGCACAUGCUGUGAGCUCGAUGAGUAGGGCGGGACACGUGGUAUCCUGUCUGAAUAUGGGGGGACCAUCCUCCAAGGCUAAAUACUCCUGACUGACCGAUAGUGAACCAGUACCGUGAGGGAAAGGCGAAAAGAACCCCGGCGAGGGGAGUGAAAAAGAACCUGAAACCGUGUACGUACAAGCAGUGGGAGCACGCUUAGGCGUGUGACUGCGUACCUUUUGUAUAAUGGGUCAGCGACUUAUAUUCUGUAGCAAGGUUAACCGAAUAGGGGAGCCGAAGGGAAACCGAGUCUUAACUGGGCGUUAAGUUGCAGGGUAUAGACCCGAAACCCGGUGAUCUAGCCAUGGGCAGGUUGAAGGUUGGGUAACACUAACUGGAGGACCGAACCGACUAAUGUUGAAAAAUUAGCGGAUGACUUGUGGCUGGGGGUGAAAGGCCAAUCAAACCGGGAGAUAGCUGGUUCUCCCCGAAAGCUAUUUAGGUAGCGCCUCGUGAAUUCAUCUCCGGGGGUAGAGCACUGUUUCGGCAAGGGGGUCAUCCCGACUUACCAACCCGAUGCAAACUGCGAAUACCGGAGAAUGUUAUCACGGGAGACACACGGCGGGUGCUAACGUCCGUCGUGAAGAGGGAAACAACCCAGACCGCCAGCUAAGGUCCCAAAGUCAUGGUUAAGUGGGAAACGAUGUGGGAAGGCCCAGACAGCCAGGAUGUUGGCUUAGAAGCAGCCAUCAUUUAAAGAAAGCGUAAUAGCUCACUGGUCGAGUCGGCCUGCGCGGAAGAUGUAACGGGGCUAAACCAUGCACCGAAGCUGCGGCAGCGACGCUGAUGCGUUGUUGGGUAGGGGAGCGUUCUGUAAGCCUGCGAAGGUGUGCUGUGAGGCAUGCUGGAGGUAUCAGAAGUGCGAAUGCUGACAUAAGUAACGAUAAAGCGGGUGAAAAGCCCGCUCGCCGGAAGACCAAGGGUUCCUGUCCAACGUUAAUCGGGGCAGGGUGAGUCGACCCCUAAGGCGAGGCCGAAAGGCGUAGUCGAUGGGAAACAGGUUAAUAUUCCUGUACUUGGUGUUACUGCGAAGGGGGGACGGAGAAGGCUAUGUUGGCCGGGCGACGGUUGUCCCGGUUUAAGCGUGUAGGCUGGUUUUCCAGGCAAAUCCGGAAAAUCAAGGCUGAGGCGUGAUGACGAGGCACUACGGUGCUGAAGCAACAAAUGCCCUGCUUCCAGGAAAAGCCUCUAAGCAUCAGGUAACAUCAAAUCGUACCCCAAACCGACACAGGUGGUCAGGUAGAGAAUACCAAGGCGCUUGAGAGAACUCGGGUGAAGGAACUAGGCAAAAUGGUGCCGUAACUUCGGGAGAAGGCACGCUGAUAUGUAGGUGAAGUCCCUUGCGGAUGGAGCUGAAAUCAGUCGAAGAUACCAGCUGGCUGCAACUGUUUAUUAAAAACACAGCACUGUGCAAACACGAAAGUGGACGUAUACGGUGUGACGCCUGCCCGGUGCCGGAAGGUUAAUUGAUGGGGUCAGCGCAAGCGAAGCUCUUGAUCGAAGCCCCGGUAAACGGCGGCCGUAACUAUAACGGUCCUAAGGUAGCGAAAUUCCUUGUCGGGUAAGUUCCGACCUGCACGAAUGGCGUAAUGAUGGCCAGGCUGUCUCCACCCGAGACUCAGUGAAAUUGAACUCGCUGUGAAGAUGCAGUGUACCCGCGGCAAGACGGAAAGACCCCGUGAACCUUUACUAUAGCUUGACACUGAACAUUGAGCCUUGAUGUGUAGGAUAGGUGGGAGGCUUUGAAGUGUGGACGCCAGUCUGCAUGGAGCCGACCUUGAAAUACCACCCUUUAAUGUUUGAUGUUCUAACGUUGACCCGUAAUCCGGGUUGCGGACAGUGUCUGGUGGGUAGUUUGACUGGGGCGGUCUCCUCCUAAAGAGUAACGGAGGAGCACGAAGGUUGGCUAAUCCUGGUCGGACAUCAGGAGGUUAGUGCAAUGGCAUAAGCCAGCUUGACUGCGAGCGUGACGGCGCGAGCAGGUGCGAAAGCAGGUCAUAGUGAUCCGGUGGUUCUGAAUGGAAGGGCCAUCGCUCAACGGAUAAAAGGUACUCCGGGGAUAACAGGCUGAUACCGCCCAAGAGUUCAUAUCGACGGCGGUGUUUGGCACCUCGAUGUCGGCUCAUCACAUCCUGGGGCUGAAGUAGGUCCCAAGGGUAUGGCUGUUCGCCAUUUAAAGUGGUACGCGAGCUGGGUUUAGAACGUCGUGAGACAGUUCGGUCCCUAUCUGCCGUGGGCGCUGGAGAACUGAGGGGGGCUGCUCCUAGUACGAGAGGACCGGAGUGGACGCAUCACUGGUGUUCGGGUUGUCAUGCCAAUGGCACUGCCCGGUAGCUAAAUGCGGAAGAGAUAAGUGCUGAAAGCAUCUAAGCACGAAACUUGCCCCGAGAUGAGUUCUCCCUGACCCUUUAAGGGUCCUGAAGGAACGUUGAAGACGACGACGUUGAUAGGCCGGGUGUGUAAGCGCAGCGAUGCGUUGAGCUAACCGGUACUAAUGAACCGUGAGGCUUAACCUU